Molecule: long non-coding RNA, 2756 nt
Organism: Balaenoptera musculus (blue whale)
Lineage: Eukaryota; Metazoa; Chordata; Mammalia; Artiodactyla; Balaenopteridae
Exons: 4
Source: RefSeq, a predicted model, not a curated record
GGAGGGUGUAAAAGGCAUCUGGGAUAUUUGCAUUUUUGUUUACUGAAGGGAGGAAAGCAUCUCACAACUCUCUGCCGCUCUAAUUCAUUCAGGACAUGAUAUAUUUCCAAGACUGCUGCCAUCUCAGGGUUUGAAUCUGUUUUCAGUUUCACUCCAGGUUUCGCCACACAUGUAUAUUUAAAAAAAAAAGAUGGUUCCAAUACAACUUAAGAAAGAAAAGCCAGCCUGACUUCUAAAAUCCAAUUUUGCCCCCUGGAUGUGUUUUCUUCCUGGAGGGGGCCAUGUGAUCUCUCCCCUCCUCACCAUGCUGCAUUCUCCUCGUUCCAAGGCCUGGUCACAGCCAGACUGAAGCCCUUAUCCUCAGGCUGUCGGUGGUGAAUGAGAGGUAUGCCUUGCUCAGCUCUAGAGUGGAGACAAAUGGCUGUGUAACUCACCGUAAUCCAUGGCAAGAAAUGAUACAUGCCGUGAGAGGAAAAUAAAGUGCUGAUGGAAAAUUAAUCUCAUUAAGGAGAUUUGUUUGUGGUGACAUUUGAAAUGAGCCUGAAAAAUGAGGAUUUUGACAGAUGGCAAAGAGUGUCACUGGUAUUAUUAUGGUAUUAACGUUCAAUAAUAUCUAAAUGAAGCUGAAUCUGUUCAGAACUCCAGAAGAUUUUGUGAGGCCCGGUCUGGGCACACUGUUCUGCUGGCAGUAGCACCCCAACUAUCCUCUGGAGGACCAUCUCUCUCCCAUUCUCAACCUAAGUGGUUUGAAUGGGGCUGACCCCACCUCCUGGCUCUUGGUAUGUGACCCAGACUAGCCAAUAAGAGAACCACAUUCCCUUAGCACAGUCAUUGGCUCCAGGCUCAGGCAUGUGACCCAGACUAGCCAAUAAGAGAACCACAUUCCCUUAGCACAGUCAUUGGUUCAGGGGUGAGCAUGUGACCCAAGUUGGUCCAAUCCUGGAGCUUUUUCAGGAACCACCGGGGAAAAGCCAUCCUCUUUCUGCUAGGGUUGCUGAGCUGGUGGUUGGUAUUUAGGACCUGCAAGGGGCCUGUUUUGUUACCACAGAGGGAGAACCUGAGAAAUGGAGAGAUUCCUGAGCACCUGGAGCCAGCUGUGCCUGAAACUCUACUUUGGACUUUUUAGUCACUCAAGGCAAUAAAUUCACUUUUUAAUAAGCCAUUUUGUGCUUUUUCCUUGCAAACAAAAAUGUUCUAACCAAUACAGAAAAUUUUAGAUAGACUGCUUAAACAAACAAACAAAAAACCCCAGUGGAGCAAGGGGAGUUGCAGAUUCACAGAGCAGUUUCCUAGCAAAAAGAAAUCUUCCUGUUGCUAACAUUUCCAGGUCCCAGUGACUAAGAAUUUGGAGACUUUAUUCUUAACCCCCCUGGUCUGAGACUGCUCACCAAUCUGACUGACUCCUGUGUGCUAGAUAUUUUUCCAUGAAUCAGAAAUGAAAUAUGCAGCACUGUAGCCACAAAGCAAUGAAAACAGCUCAUUUGCCUUUCGUGUCUCUCCAAACAAAAAGCUUUGUUUUUUCUGGGUCACACGUUGUAAGUGAAGAGUCAUAAUGAUAAUCCUGUUUGGAUUUAUUAACAGUUGAAUAGACUAUUGAGAAAAGAUUUGUUAAUCAUCAGAAGCAAAUUCACCAUAGAAGCAUUGCAGACAGAGUGGGACAAUUGCCUUGAGCCAACUAAAUCUCUGCCCCUUCAGGGAAAACUCUUGGAUGUUUGAAUUAAGUGCCACAUCUGGAAAUGCAGAAAGAUACUUGCUUCUAUUGAGUGCUUCCUAUGUCCUUGGUACGAAGAACGGUAUUUUGCCUACAUUCUCUCUCAAUUUCAUCAACUCUAUGAGAAAGGUAACCCCAAGCAGUUACUGCUUCUACUUCAAAGUUUAUGAUCCAUGGGCAAUUACUACAGACAUUUAUCAUUUUGCAAACAUUUUAUCAUGUCACUCCUGCAGCUGUGGAUGGCCAUGUGAUUGCUUCUGGCUAGUGAGACUUGAGUAGAAGUCUUCCGGGGAUCUCUGGGUGAUGUACGGAGGAGCAGAUGUGUUGCCUCUAGCAAGGCAAUAAUUCACUUCAUUAUUAUUGUUUGAUUUGCCUUGUGUGUGCUGUUCGUUGCUAACUGAGGCCUGCAAUGCUGUCCGUGGGAUGUGAAAUGUACAGGAACGGGUCAGAAGGCCUUGGGAGAAGUGAAAAAGAAGUCAUUGCCCUGGCCUCAGUCACCUGUCCCCAGACAAAAUCACACCCUGUCAUCCAUGAAGAUUUGCAAACCAGCCCCCACUCAGCUGCUAUUUUUGACCAGAGUCCUUGCUGCCCUAGGCUCCUACCCGUGGGACCGAGAACGUUAAUGUCAGAAAGAAGUUAGAAACUGAUAUUGAAGAGCAGACCUGUGUUGGAAAGAACAUAGUUCAAGGGAGACUGGUGAAUGAAGAAGGGACGAUCAAUGUGAUGGCUGGAGCUCUAGCUGCCACAUUGGACCAUGAAGUGAAUUCAAGAUGGAAGCCAUAUGCUAAGUAUGGCAGAACAAAAAGAUAGAGGAAACCUGGAACUUUGAUGACACUGUAGCUCCCAUACCAGCCAGAAUCCAGCCUUAUUUUGUAUGAGAGAGAAAUAAGCUUCUAUCUGAUUGAAACCACUGUUAUUUCCUCCUUCACUUGGGACAUCACAAGCCUAGGGAAUCUUUGGAAGGCUUUGAGCAGAAAGUGAAGAAUUAGGGAUUUUAUUUGUUUGUUUUCUGGUAUGUUUAUUUUUUUAAGUUAAAUUAGCUGUA